Molecule: ribosomal RNA, 503 nt
Filed under: uncultured bacterium
Lineage: Bacteria
Description: bacterial SSU rRNA
Rfam family: Bacterial small subunit ribosomal RNA
Source: RNAcentral
CCUAAGACAUGCAAGUCGAACGAGGUGGCCCAAUGAAGAUGGAGUGCUUGCACAAAGUUGGAUUUGGAUUCCCACCUAGUGGCAGACGGGUGAGUAACACGUGGGUGACCUACCUUCAAGUUGGGGAUAACAGUUGGAAACGAUUGCUAAUACCGAAUAAGAUAUAACUGUCGUGGUUAUAUUGAAAGGAGCCUUUAAAGCUCCGCUUAAAGAUGGGCCUGCGGUGUAUUAGCUAGUUGGUGAGGUAAUGGCUCACCAAGGCGACGAUGCAUAGCCGGACUGAGAGGUUGAACGGCCACAUUGGGACUGAGACACGGCCCAAACUCCUACGGGAGACAGCAGUUAGGAAUAUUCGUCAAUGGGGGAAACCCUGAACGAGCAAUGCCGCGUGAGUGAUGAAGGUCCUUUGGAUUGUAAAACUCUGUUGUAUGGGAAGAAUGACCAGAUUAGGAAAUGCGUCUGGAGUGACUGUACCAUACCAGAAAGCAUCGGCUAACUACGUG